AGUAAUUCUAAGCAUUUCCAAGCUACUCUUUUGGCCAAACAUUUUUUCACUAUAAAAAAAAGAACAUUAGAAUCAAAUUUGCUGCACUAGAUAAUUCCUUAAAUAUAUCAGUUUAGAAAGCAAGUGUCCUUAUGCUACUGAUUACAUGCGUGAAAACUAAAUGCAACACUACUCCAUCAUCGUGCUUCAAUGUAAUGUAGUAUUUUUGGGAAAGCUCAUCGAAGAGAUUUUCAAAUCGCGAUCCUGAACAGUAGUAGAGAUAACAUCAAGUCGCGUUCGAAGUUCAGAUCCAGGAGUCCAUCCUCAUCCUCCUCAUGUAGUAUUUUUGGGAAAGCUCAUCGAAGAGAUUUUCAAAUCGCGAUCCUGAACAGUAGUAGAGAUAACAUCAAGUCGCGUUCGAAGUUCAGAUCCAGGAGUCCAUCAAGUAAACUAAU
Molecule: long non-coding RNA, 434 nt
Filed under: Ananas comosus (pineapple)
Lineage: Eukaryota; Viridiplantae; Streptophyta; Magnoliopsida; Poales; Bromeliaceae
Description: long non-coding RNA (ACOM_LNC024902)
Source: RNAcentral